UUUAAUAGACGAACAGUCUACCUUUAUAAACACCUGCACCUACAAGGAAUCUUAAUCCAACAUCGAGGUCACAAACUUAAUUAUCAAUAAGAACUCUCCAAUUAAAUUAUGCUGUUAUCCCUGUGGUAAUUUAUUCUAUUAAUCAUUAUUAAUGGAUCAAAAAAUAAAUAUUUAAAUAAAAAUAUAUUUUGUUUAACUUAAAUAAUCGCCCCAAUCAAAUAUUAUAUAUUAAAUAAUAUUUACUAAAUAAUUAAUAAAUAUAAAUAUAAAACUCAACAGGGUCUUCUCGUCUAUUUUAACUAUAUUAGCAUUUUUACUAAUAAUUUAAAUUCAUCCAUACAAAUAAGACAGAAUUUCCCUUGUCAAACCUUUCAUACAAGACUACAAUUAAUAGCCUAAUUAUUAUGCUACCUUAACGCAGUCAAUAUACCGCGGCUAUUUAUAAUAUACAUUGAGCAGGCCUGAUUUUAUAUAUAAUAAACAUAAAACC
RNAcentral lists this ribosomal RNA (490 nucleotides) under Scolopendra mutilans. RNAcentral describes it as "partial 16S ribosomal RNA". The record is from RNAcentral. Lineage: Eukaryota; Metazoa; Arthropoda; Chilopoda; Scolopendromorpha; Scolopendridae.